RNAcentral lists this ribosomal RNA (560 nucleotides) under Meiothermus ruber. RNAcentral's name for it is "bacterial SSU rRNA". It matches the Rfam family "Bacterial small subunit ribosomal RNA", at positions 49 to 630 of the family's 1533-position model. The record is from RNAcentral. Lineage: Bacteria; Thermotogati; Deinococcota; Deinococci; Thermales; Thermaceae.
UUAGCCAUGGCGCUGCUAUACUGCAGUCGAACGGGCUGUUUAUGCCCCGGUGGCGGACGGGUGAGUAACACGUAGGUGACCUACCCCAAAGUCUGGGACAACUAGGAGAAAUCUUAUCUAAUCCUGGAUGUGGACAUCUACUUUGGUGGAUGUUUAAAGCUUCCGCGCUUUGGGAUGGGCCUGCGGCGCAUCAGGUAGUUGGUGGGGUAAUGGCCUACCAAGCCGACGACGCGUAACUGGUCUGAGAGGACAAUCAGCCACAGGGGUACUGAGACACGGACCCCACUCCUACGGGAGGCACCAGUUAGGAAUCUUCCGCAAUGGGCGAAAGCCUGACGGAUCGAUACCGCUUGAAGGACGAACCCCUUCGGGGUGUAAACUUCUGAACUCGGGACGAUAAUGACGGUACCGAGGUAAUAGCACCGGCUAACUCCGUGCCAGCAGCCGCGGUAAUACGGAGGGUGCGAGCGUUACCCGGAUUUACUGGGUGUAAAGGGCGUGUAGGCGGUCUCUCAAGUCCAAUGCUAAAGACCGAAGCUCAACUUCGGGGGUGCGUUGGA